GGUGAACGCUGGCGGCGUGCCUAACACAUGCAAGUCGAACGAAGCGGCUCGAAGUUUUCGGACAGAGAGUUGACUGAGUGGCGGACGGGUGAGUAACGCGUGGGUAACCUGCCUUAUACAGGGGGAUAACAGUUAGAAAUGACUGCUAAUACCGCAUAAGCGCACAGGAUCGCAUGAUCUGGUGUGAAAAGCCGAGACGGUAUAAGAUGGACCCGCGUCUGAUUAGCUAGUUGGUGAGGUAACGGCCCACCAAGGCGACGAUCAGUAGCCGACCCGAGAGGGUGACCGGCCACAUUGGGACUGAGACACGGCCCAA
RNAcentral lists this ribosomal RNA (316 nucleotides) under uncultured bacterium. Its description in RNAcentral is "bacterial SSU rRNA". It matches the Rfam family "Bacterial small subunit ribosomal RNA", at positions 28 to 334 of the family's 1533-position model. The record is from RNAcentral.